CUGCAUGGCAAUCGCCACCAUCAAGGCCCGCUGUGGCUUUGUGGCUCCAACUUUCCCUGCCUCGUCGGCCACAAAGUUCUUGUUCUCUUGCAAUUCAGAAUAGUGAGUCACUUUCACAUAUCUCUCAUCGAAUCUUGGUGUGGCCGCCAAAUCCAGGGGUGGUAAUGAGAAUGGCUCGAUGACCCAGGCUGCUGUUGCCACGUCCCUGGUCAAGCCAUAGCGUUGCUUGCUGAAAGUAAGACGAGGGCGAGGCACGCCAAGCUUCUGCAGAAUGCCACACUCACCGGUAAGCGCGCACAAUGUAGCACACAAGCAGCACCAGCAGGAAGAAUCUCACUGGCCACCUUGGUCGGGUCCAGCAGCAAUAUUCUUUGCACAUGGCUUGCAAAGCUACAAGCAAUUGCGUGUGUACCAUACCAGGUUCACUGUCCUGCUGGGAUUACUGAGCUGGGCCCUUGUGCAGUUCUGCAUUGUAGGCGACCUGGUUCCCAUGGCUCCCUAUCCUGCGUGGCACAAAUUCACACAAAUUUAUUUUCCUAAUGCUAGAUCUGUAACAGGGAAUAGAGAGAACGUCCGCCGAUUUCGAGCAAGAGUGGAGAUCAGGGUUUUCGGGAUUCCGCAAUACUGUCUAUUUCGCUCUUUUACUCUGCUUCGAGUUGCCUUCCGUCUAAAUCUAUUAUGAAUUACUUUCGAAAUAUAAGAGCGCGAUUACGGAUUGUUUCUGUGUUAUUUUGAGUACCGAACUCUCAUGUAACCGUGAGUGAUCAAGCGGAUUUUCUGCGAUGAAACGUACAACAAGCUAUAAAACGCAUGGACAACGCAUGAUAGAUGAAAGAAACUGAAUUUUUGUCUGCCGGCAUUCGAGAAAGCUGUACUUAGCCAUUGGAAAGUGCUGCCGCAUGUUGCAGCGAGGCAUCAGCUUUCCACAGCCACCGCAGGCUACUCUGGCCUUCAGAAUCCUAGGUUGCGAAAGUAAUGACAAUGUUUCGCCUAAGAGCAUUCUUUAUAAUUGUGUAACUAAGUGCAGCGGUGAAAACUGUGAAGGUCGCUGAGUCGGUAAAGAUACAGCAGCAUACCUGAAUGGACCCGUCUUGUGUGCCGACUCAAGUGAUGGUUACUGCUCGCGCUGAUCUGAGUUCUGUUGCUGUUUUGUUCCGGCCCUCGCCUUGACUAUCCAAU
This 1179-nucleotide long non-coding RNA is filed under the name Coccomyxa subellipsoidea. RNAcentral's name for it is "long non-coding RNA (CSUB_LNC000607)". The record is from RNAcentral. Lineage: Eukaryota; Viridiplantae; Chlorophyta; Trebouxiophyceae; Coccomyxaceae.